RNAcentral lists this transfer RNA (74 nucleotides) under Micromonosporaceae bacterium. It matches the Rfam family "tRNA". From Rfam's summary of the family: Transfer RNA (tRNA) molecules are approximately 80 nucleotides in length. Their secondary structure includes four short double-helical elements and three loops (D, anti-codon, and T loops). The record is from Rfam by way of RNAcentral. Lineage: Bacteria; Bacillati; Actinomycetota; Actinomycetes; Micromonosporales; Micromonosporaceae.
CUGGUCGUAGCUCAACUUGGUGGAGCACCCGGUUCGGGGCCGGGCGGACGCGGGUUCAAAUCCCGCCGACCAGA